Molecule: unclassified non-coding RNA, 214 nt
Filed under: Hevea brasiliensis (rubber tree)
Lineage: Eukaryota; Viridiplantae; Streptophyta; Magnoliopsida; Malpighiales; Euphorbiaceae
Source: RNAcentral
AUUCAAAGGAAGUAGGACACGGGCAGUCUCCCUCACAGUAGGGAGACUAUAAGGUUCGAAUUGCUUUCUCUGCUGGUGAUCAUCUUCUUUGUCCCGGUAGAGAACUGAUCAUCGAGUGCUUUCUUUCUCCAUUGAAGUUCACCCUCAUCUUCCUUCCCCACCCAUCGCUCCGGGUUCGAGUAGCGGUCCGACAAGUUGAGACGAAAGAUGUGAA